CCCUUAGAUGCUCUGGGCCGCACGCGCGCUACACUGGUCGAUGCAACGAGUUUCUUUCCUUGGCCGACAGGCCUGGGCAAUCUUUGAACAUCGAUCGUGAUCGGGAUAGAUUCUUGUAAUUUUUGAUCUUAAACGAGGAAUUCCUAGUAAACGCAAGUCAUCAGCUUGCAUUGAUUACGUCCCUGCCCUUUGUACACACCGCCCGUCGCUCCUACCGAUUGAAUGGUCCGGUGAAGCGUUCGGACCGUGGCCUUUGGACGGUUCGCCGUCUGUUGGCUGCGGGAAGUUCGUUAAACCUUAUCAUUUAGAGGAAGGAGAANUCGUANCA
RNAcentral lists this ribosomal RNA (328 nucleotides) under uncultured eukaryote. Its description in RNAcentral is "partial 18S ribosomal RNA". It matches the Rfam family "Eukaryotic small subunit ribosomal RNA", at positions 1470 to 1796 of the family's 1831-position model. The record is from RNAcentral.